GCCUUGACGUUCACGGCAGCGACGACGACUGCCUUGUUCACAACAGCGACGACGGUUGCGGCUGCCUUAUUCAUGGCAGCGAGGGCGACUUCGUUCUUCUAUUUUUUGUUCUGUUUUUUACUUUCCAAUUUGGUCGGGUCUUGCAAUGAAGUUUGACAACACUUAAUGAGGUUUGGUAUAAAAGCCCCAACUUCGUUCAAAUUAAUUAAAGCCCAAAAAAACCUAAGUCUCAAAAUCAAAAAAUUCUCCAAGCAAUAAAUAGCAGU
This 266-nucleotide long non-coding RNA is filed under the name Panax ginseng (ginseng). Its description in RNAcentral is "long non-coding RNA (PGIN_LNC016589)". Lineage: Eukaryota; Viridiplantae; Streptophyta; Magnoliopsida; Apiales; Araliaceae. The record is from RNAcentral.